AUGGUGGCCACCGGGUCAGCCAGUCUUCGCAAUUCUUGUCACCGAUGGUCAGCCAGUCCCCUUGGACAUGCUGAGGCCGCCACCGACCACUCUGCGCUGGUGUCCAUCAAGUCGCUGAUAACCAGCGACCCGGCAUCGGCACUGGCCUCAUGGGGCGGCAACCGGUCGCUCCCUCUGUGCCGGUGGCGGGGCGUAACGUGCGGCGCUCGUGGGCGUGUCGUAGCGCUGGACCUCAGCAACCUAGGCCUUUCAGGUGCUAUUGCCCCCUCAGUAGCCAACCUUACCUACCUGAGAAUGCUCCAGCUUCCCAUGAACCGUCUCUCCGGUGCCAUACCAUCGGAGAUUGCCCGUCUCCUCGACCUCAGGCAUGUCAACCUGAGCCACAACUUCUUUGAAGGUGGCAUCCCGGCAUCACUAUCACAGUGCCAGCAGCUUGUGAGCAUCAGCCUUGGAUACAACAACCUCACCGGAGGAAUACCUCCAGACAUGGGUCAUUUGCUCAGCUUGCGCGGAGUCUGGAUGCAGUACAACAAACUGACAGGAGUGAUCCCUUCAGAGAUUGGCAACCUCCCCCUAAAUCUAGUAAGUCUUGACCUGAACUACAAUCACUUGACAGGUUCACUCCCUUCUUCUCUUGGUAACCUUCAGAGAAUCAAGAAUUUGCAAGCGAGGGGGAAUCAACUCACAGGGCUGAUUCCAUUAUUCUUGGGAAACCUCUCGGCAUUAACUACCCUUAAUCUUGGAACCAACAGAUUUGAAGGGGAGAUUGUGCCAUUGCAAGCACUGUCAUCUCUGUCUGUCCUCAUUUUGCAAGAAAAUAACCUUCAUGGUGGCCCCCCUUCCUGGCUAGGAAACCUCUCCUCACUCGUAUACCUAAGCUUGGGAGUUAAUAGCUUAAGUGGGGCUAUUCCCGAAUCAUUAGGGAACCUUCAUAUGUUAUCUGCUCGUCUUGUUCUCGCCGAGAACAGUUUUUCAGGUAGCAUUCCUUCCUCCCUCGGAAACCUUCAUGCUCUUUCCGAGUUAUAUCUAGACACGAAUCAGCUCACUGGACAAGUUCCUUCUUCUCUUUUCAAUAUGUCCUCUCUCAGCGUAUUUAAUCUACAGUUCAACCAGCUAACUGGAUCAUUGCCAAGUGGGAAAAAUUUCAACUUUCCAGUACUUAACACAUUUAAUGUAGGGGAUAAUAGGCUCCAUGGUGUUAUUCCACCUUGGCUGUGCAACUGUUCUAUGCUUAGCACAAUUGCAGUAGAAGUGAAUAUAAUUUCAGGAACAGUCCCGGCUUGUCUUGGACAUAACCUAAAAAGUUUGGCAGUCCUAACCCUUGGACAAAAUCACCUACAUGCAAAUGAAGAUGAUCGUUGGGACUUCAUGUCCAGUCUAACUAAUAGCAGCCGUCUCAAGUUUUUUGAUUUCGGCAGCAACAAAUUUCGAGGUGUGCUACCAAAUUCAGUUGCCAAUCUUUCUACAGAACUGCACGCUCUCAGUAUGUCCAACAACAUGAUAAGUGGCAAUAUUCCUGAAGGCAUCGGGAACCUUGUUAAUUUAUCAUAUCUUCUGAUGAGCAUCAAUUCUUUCGAGGGUACUAUUCCUUCCUCUCUUGGUAGACUCCAGAAGCUGAGCUACUUAUACCUCGAUUUGAACAAUCUCUCAGGGCAAAUUCCGCCAACCCUUGGCAAUCUCACAUUAUUGAAUAAACUCGCUCUUGGAUCAAAUUCACUUGAUGGACCUAUUCCAUCCAGCCUUAGGAGCUGUCCUUUAGAACUAUUGGAUCUCGAGCACUAUAAGCUCAGUGGUCCGAUUCCAAAGGAAAUCUUCCUCAUAUCUACCUUAUCUGACUUCAUGUACUUCCAAAGCAACUUGUUUAAUGGGUCGCUACCACUGGAGAUUGGUAGCUUAAAACAUAUUACAGACAUCGAUUUGUCUGAUAAUCAAUUUUCUGGUGAGAUUCCUGCCUCUAUUGGUGAGUGUGAAAGCCUGCAAUUUUUAAAGAUGCAAAUGAACUUUCUUCAAGGUGGAAUCCCGGCAUCAAUGGGGCAGCUGAAAGGCCUGGAAAUACUUGAUCUUUCACAUAACAACUUGUCGGGAGAAAUUCCUGAGUUUCUUGGGAGAAUAAAAGGCCUUGGUAGUUUGAACCUGUCAUUCAACUACUUUGAAGGUGAGGUCCCAAAAGAGGGAAUAUUUCUUGAUGCGAAUGCAACCGCAGUUGAGGGAAACCAAGGACUGUGUGGGGGUAUCCCUGCAAUGAAGUUGCAUCCCUGCUCCGUCCUGACCACCAAGAAACGGUCCUUCAAGCUUAUCAUGAUAAUCUCCAUAAGCAGUGCAGUGCUGUUGAUUAUCUUCAUUUUAGCACUGUUUGCUUUCUGGUACAGCAGGAGCAAGUCACACCAAGCUAACGCAGACCUGUCGCCCAUCAAUGACUUGCAUAUCAGAGUAUCUUAUGCUGAAUUAGCCAGUGCAACUAAUGGUUUUGCUUCCGAGAACCUCAUCGGAGUAGGAAGCUUCGGCUCGGUGUACAAGGGAAGAAUGGUGAUCCAUGAGCAGCAGGUCAUUGUUGCUGUGAAAGUGUUCAAUCUCCAACAACGUGGUGCAUCUCAAAGUUUUCUUGCAGAAUGUGAGACCCUGAGAUGUGUUCGACAUCGGAACCUUCUGAAGAUCUUGACAGUCUGCUCAAGUAUGGAUUUUCAGAGCCAGGAUUUCAAGGCUCUUGUGUAUGAAUUUCUUCCGAAUGGAAAUUUAGAUCAAUGGAUACACAAGCCUCUUGAGGAAAAUGAAGAUAGUGUGUUAAAUCUAAUCACAAGGCUCAACAUCGCCAUUGAUGUGGCUUUUGCACUGGAUUAUCUUCACCAACACAGGCCAUUGCCAGUUAUUCACUGUGAUCUCAAGCCAAGCAAUAUUCUCCUUGACAAUGACAUGGUUGCUCAUGUUGGUGACUUUGGCCUUGCAAGAGCCCUGCAUCAAGACCAGAGAGAAUCAAGUGGCUGGGCUGCCAUGAGAGGAACAAUUGGCUAUGCUGCUCCAGAGUAUGGUCUGGGCAACGAGGUUUCAAUCCUGGGUGACGUGUAUAGCUAUGGUGUAUUGUUGCUGGAGAUGUUUACUGGGAAAAGACCAACCGACGGUGAGCUUGGAGAAGCUCUAGGUCUUCACAGAUAUGUUCAGAAUGCACUUGCAGAAAGAGUGGCCAAUAUUGUGGAUCACAAGUUGUUAUUAAAGGACGAGGAUGGAGAAGCAAACACCUCAAAUCCUGAUAGAAGAGGAGAUAUAACAAUUGCUUGCAUCAAUUCAAUUUUGAAUAUUGGAGUUUCAUGUUCAAUGGAAAUUCCUACGGAUCGCAUGCAAAUUGGAGAUGCUUUGAAAGAGUUGCUAACACUAAGAGACAUUCACACGCGCCUUUCCAGUAUGCAAGCGGCAAGUCAUUGCAGCAUUAAAAGCUCUCAUGGAUAUGAAUCUAUUAUCUUGAAGGUACUAUAG
Molecule: ribosomal RNA, 3468 nt
Filed under: Triticum aestivum (bread wheat)
Lineage: Eukaryota; Viridiplantae; Streptophyta; Magnoliopsida; Poales; Poaceae
Description: partial small subunit ribosomal RNA
Source: RNAcentral